RNAcentral lists this long non-coding RNA (1106 nucleotides) under Lonchura striata (white-rumped munia). RNAcentral describes it as "domestica (Bengalese finch) lncRNA (ENSLSDG00000018003.1)". Lineage: Eukaryota; Metazoa; Chordata; Aves; Passeriformes; Estrildidae. The record is from RNAcentral.
GUUAGAUAUUAAUUCACAUCAGCACACAAGGAGAAACAGCACCAAGGAAUUAAAGAAUAUAGUCCUGGAGCCAGCCCACAAGUCAUUCCUUUUUGCAUUCCCGAGGAGCAGCAGGCAGCAUGAAUGGCAAACCAAACUCAGCCAUUCUCCCCGUGUCUGAAUGCUGGAGAUCUUAAUAUCUCUGCUCUGACGAUCAAAACACCAUUUGCUAUUUCAUACAGAUCUUUCUUCUUGGAAAAAGCUUUCGGUAAUUAAAGGAAGAGGCGUUAUCUGGGUUGAAAGCCGGAGCCUGGGCGCGCUGUCGGGCGCGAUGAGGCAGUCAGGGGGAAGCUGGCAGGAGCUGCUUUGCAGGGUGUUGUCAUGGGAACAGAGCAAGUAGGGCAUUCGCUGCUCCGCAUCCUCCUCCCAGAAUCGAUGCUUUUCGCAGCGCCGGCAGAGCUCUCCGGCUGUCUCAGCAGAGAUCGGACCUGAAUGAAACGCAAAGGCCAGAAUCUCGCUUUGUGUGAAAGUGGUGUCACUCCUGAUUUGAGUGGAAGACUUUGGUGCACGUUUUAGCUGCCUGUGAAUCUGGCAUCCGUAAUGGUCAGUGGCAGCACACAAAGGGUCGAGCUUGGUCAGUGAGUGCAUCACCGUGGUGGGCAAGCUCAGAAUAGAAAGUAUUGCUAUAGCAUCAGUGUUUGUGGUCAUCUGAAGUGUUGGAGUCACCUUGCACAAUGCUGUCUUUGAAUGCAGCUUACUUCCUCUGUGCAGAGAUCAAAGACCACGAGGCCAGAAUAGCAGCUAGACCAGAACUGAGCCACUGGGGUUUUGGCCCCAAACAGAAAUUUGUGAGACAAAACUGUGCUGUUUGUUUGAAGGGAUGCAAUACUAGAGACAGAACUUCUUCAGACGGAUGCUGAUGACCAAUCUGCUGAAAGGGGAAGAAUGGAGUAAUCGUCUGGAAUAAGUAACCCUUAGCUCCUGCAGCACCAAAAGCCUGCAGCUCACAAGAUCCUAUUUCAUUUUCUUGGUGUUCCUGGCUUUGAGGAAGCUCCAAGACUGGGUUUGAAGGUCCCAAAGGCUGUUCCAGCCACCUAAAUAAAAGCACAUUUAUUACCUGUGUAUCA